AUCAAAAUACUGGAAAAAUGACUAUGUUGUUUAUAUUUAAGAAUAUAGAACUUUAUCAUUUCUAAGUUUUAUAUAGUUCUUAUUUCAAAUAGUAUAUAUUGCAGCAUUUGUUGUAAAUAUGAACACUUUGGCAGAUGCAGUACAUGGCACAUUAACUAGACUGGUUUAGCCACCAGAAGGCAUUCACUUAAGUUUCAUUUGGGAGCCAUUGAAUUAGAUUUGAUAUCUCUUAGUAAUAACGGUGUCAGUUUCUACAGUUUCUAGCAAGCAAACCUUUCACUCUCGCACAACACAUGUAUUCUUUAAACAGUGCUUCUUAAACUCUUGUAAUAUCCCAGGCCCCGUAUUCACAGAUUCUCAGAGUAGAAGUGCUAAUCUAGGAUCAGGUCCCAGCUGUCCAAAUAAUCUUAUUCAUUAUGAAUUAACAGACCCACCAGAUCUUAAAUCAGCACAUAUACUCUGAAACGUUUUGUGAAUACAGGUUCAUGUAUUCAGUUAAGGCCUCAAACCAACAACAAUUGUGGAUGUGUUAAUGUGUUUGAGCCAAAACAGUAACAUAUUUUGUCAACAACAGUAUUGCCACUUUGUAUCAGUGCUUUGUAUCCACAGCAUGUGUUCAAACCAACAGUGGAGAUGUGCUAACUGGGAAUGUCUACUAUGGCUUACUUUUAUGAGGAUUGCCAUGGUUACCAGAUUAAAGGACCAGUCCGCUAUCUUUUUGAUGCUUUGUAGCCACAUGAAUGGUCCUCAGACUCAGUGUGUUGUAUUUGUACAUUUUCAAUUAGGGGGAGUAAAACAAUAAGAUUAUUGUUUUUGGCACAUAGAAAACAGUUUGGGUAGUUUUAAGUGAAUGAAAGAGGAAUUUUCUGUUAGUCUGCAUGUCUCUUCAUAAUAAGUCUAAUUAUUUUCGUGUGUACAUUUGAAUUAAGGUAUUUCAUGAUCAAAAGGCUCUGUUUUGAUUCUGUUAUUAUACUGUUCAUAUCAAAAGGGAAUAUAGGCUAUUAUAAACGGUGUUUAAAUAACUUACGACAAGCAUAUUUAUUUGAAACAAUACAGUAUUUAGAAUGUAGGCCUACUUCCCUAAUAGGUUCCAACAAGAACCAAUAUCAUUUUACAGUCAUGUCUUUGGAAUUGUUUGUAAAUCCUCAUUUUCUUUCGUGAGGGCCUCUGGUUAACGUUGCCUCUCUUAGUACUCUGUGUUUAGGAGGGAUUCGGUCAUAUUUUGCUCCCAGGGGUCUUCUUGCAAUAAACAGAUUUACAUACAGUACAA
This 1270-nucleotide long non-coding RNA is filed under the name Salmo salar (Atlantic salmon). RNAcentral describes it as "lncRNA (ENSSSAG00000090865.1)". Lineage: Eukaryota; Metazoa; Chordata; Actinopteri; Salmoniformes; Salmonidae. The record is from RNAcentral.